This 468-nucleotide ribosomal RNA is filed under the name uncultured bacterium. Its description in RNAcentral is "partial 16S ribosomal RNA". It matches the Rfam family "Bacterial small subunit ribosomal RNA", at positions 28 to 507 of the family's 1533-position model. The record is from RNAcentral.
GACGAACGCUGGCGGCGUGCUUAACACAUGCAAGUCGAACGGAAAGGCCCUGCUUUUGUGGGGUGCUCGAGUGGCGAACGGGUGAGUAACACGUGAGUAACCUGCCCUUGACUUUGGGAUAACUUCAGGAAACUGGGGCUAAUACCGGAUAGGAGCUCCUGCUGCAUGGUGGGGGUUGGAAAGUUUCGGCGGUUGGGGAUGGACUCGCGGCUUAUCAGCUUGUUGGUGGGGUAGUGGCUUACCAAGGCUUUGACGGGUAGCCCGCCUGAGAGGGUGACCGGCCACCUUGGGACUGCGAUACGGCCCAGACUCCUACGGGAGGCAGCAGUGGGGAAUAUUGCACAAUGGGCGGAAGCCUGAUGCAGCAACGCCGCGUGCGGGAUGACGGCCUUCGGGUUGUAAACCGCUUUCGCCUGUGACGAAGCGUGAGUGACGGUAAUGGGUAAAGAAGCACCGGCUAACUACGUG